RNAcentral lists this long non-coding RNA (917 nucleotides) under Bos indicus x Bos taurus (hybrid cattle). RNAcentral's name for it is "lncRNA (ENSBIXG00005029739.1)". The record is from RNAcentral. Lineage: Eukaryota; Metazoa; Chordata; Mammalia; Artiodactyla; Bovidae.
UUGGUCUCCAACUUCUGUUAUUGGUACAGCUGGAGGGGAACCCAGAGCAGUCUGUCUCCAAACCCAUGAUGCUCCCACAGAACCACUUGAUGAGAAGGACAGAAAGAGUCUGUGAAUCGGGGCAAAAGGCAUAGAAAUGCCAGGAGGUUUCCCGAAGAGUGCAAGGAAACAGAACCAGGAGUGACCAGCAAGGCCCAGCCCAGUGGCAGAGCUGAGAUCUCUGUGACCGGCAGAGGGUCCCUGGCUGAGAGAGGGUACCGGUUGCCUUCUGCCUGCCUGCCCCAGGCAAGGAUGAGCUCUCCCCUGAGGGGGAUCCAUAGCCCGUGCUAGCAGUGGGCUAGCAGACCACCCGGCACUCUGAAUCCUGGGACCGCCCCACCCCACCCCAUGCACUGCUGGUCACUGGGAGCACUCAAGACAGGAAGGUAAGCCAGAGAGACUUGUGUUUUCCUUUGUAAAAAAAAAAAAAAAAAAUAUAUAUAUAUAUAUAUAUGUAUGUAUGGGAAAUUGAAGAUGCUGUUACAAUGUUAUAAAUUACAAGUUGCAAUUUUUUUUAAGUGAAAAAAAAGAUUUCAGCAAGUGAGAUAAGGUGGUAUCAGCACCACAGCAACCACCUUCAGCUGUUAGCACUUUGCAGCUUGAAAGUGACUUUGCUGGCCUUUUAUCACAAGAUUCACAACCAGCCUAUGAGACAGGAGUCAAGAUUUUCCCCAUUUCACAGGUGAGUAAAUGGAGGCUCAGAGAGGUCGGGUGAUUUGCCCAGGGCUGCACAGCUAGGACAAAGAAUGGGAAUCUAAACAUUUUGGCUCCAACAUACUGGCUAUAUCAAGCUGCUGACAGCCUUUUUAAAACUAUGAAGUGUUACACAAAUGUCAGGCAUUAAUAAUUAUUAUCACUUCCACCGUGUGGAGCUUGGC